RNAcentral lists this unclassified non-coding RNA (335 nucleotides) under Hevea brasiliensis (rubber tree). The record is from RNAcentral. Lineage: Eukaryota; Viridiplantae; Streptophyta; Magnoliopsida; Malpighiales; Euphorbiaceae.
UGAAGAUUAAAAAAAUGUCAUUUUCUGUGAUAUCAUGCGUGUAUGGUUGCCUGAAAUUUUUCUCUAGUUUGAGAUCUUGAGUGCUGGACUCAUUAAGGUUUUCUUUGGUUGAUUGAGGCCUUCCCUGGAAUUUCUAGCUUAUGAAGUCAAUAUGAAUGAGGUCUAACUAAGAAUAAAUAUUUUGAGACAACAAUAUUAGGUCUUCUUUGAGAAGUCACAAUAUUGGGGCAACACACACAUACAUAGCUAGGCAUGAAGAUCAUAGAGCUUAAUGCAUAAUUCUGGCAUGAGGGGAAUUUGAUCCUAUAUAAUGAUAUUGUUAACUUGGUGAGAGG